Solanum stenotomum is the source of this 990-nucleotide long non-coding RNA. RefSeq lists it as uncharacterized. The record is from RefSeq and is a predicted model, not a curated record. NCBI's taxonomy places the organism in Eukaryota, Viridiplantae, Streptophyta, Magnoliopsida, Solanales, Solanaceae. The transcript is spliced from 2 exons.
CUUGGUGGGCGCAAGAAUCAAUUUUUUUUUUUUUGUUGUAACUGAAUGAUGCAAGUGUGUGACAUCUCUAACCCAUUUGUUAUAUCGUGUUAUUUGAAGCUAAUAGCAUUUGAGUGUUUCUGUUUUCUUAUAGUAUGAACUACUAUGUGAUUUCAAGUGUGGAGGUCUUCUUUCCUUCACACAUUAAUAUAUUUGAUGAAAGUCGUUUCCAAACUUCUUAGUAAAGAAUGGUUCAUUGAUGUCAGAAAUAAUUGAAAUUCUGUGAACUUUAUUUCAGCCUUCACAAACUAAAAGAGAGGUGUACAACUACUAUAUUUGAUGUGGAGUAUCUUAAUUAGAUGUGUGUUUUUGAUCUUUCAUAUAUGAAUCUUAAUAUUUAAGGUGCAGUUAUUUUGAAGCAUCGUCUCUUGAUUAUUCUUUGUAAUGAUUUUUUUUUUUUUUUUGCUAUAGCAAGGAACUUUUCUAUGCAUGAAUUAAAGAAAAAUGUUGAUUUUUAAGUCUCUUUAUUAAGUUACAGUUCAUAUUGUAAAUCCUUUUAUUGAUUACCAUUUUGUUGAAGUGCUUAGUUAUAACAGGGACCUAAAUUUGGUAUGUAGGAUUUGAAGAAGAAAGAUGAGUCCAACCAUGCAGGGGUUGCUAUUGAAGAGCAAUACAAAUGACAUUUACCUGAGAAAAUUACUAAAUAAUUAAGGAGUAUGCAUAAGAGCAAUUUCAAGUUUAUCACCCUUCUAUCAUUGAUUAAUUUGUAGGAACAACAUAUAGCAUUUCUUUGGGCACUGCAAAGAAAAUGCUUACAAAGAGUUGAAGAGUUUACGUUAUUUAUGACACAUUGUAUACUCCAGAAGUUGUGACACCACUAGAAUUUGAACGAUAGAUUGUAAAAUCAUAACGUUCCGAACAACUUCUUGAGCAUUUUUUUUAUUUUUUUUUGGGUCCUGUAUAAGUUGUUUGAGUUGCUUUAUUGCUUGAGACUUUGUUUUUAAUUUUUCA